This 314-nucleotide unclassified non-coding RNA is filed under the name Hevea brasiliensis (rubber tree). Lineage: Eukaryota; Viridiplantae; Streptophyta; Magnoliopsida; Malpighiales; Euphorbiaceae. The record is from RNAcentral.
CAGCAGCAGCAAAUGGGAUAUAGCUGAAAAGUUUUGGCAUAAUUGUGCUUUCAUCUUAUGUUAUAAGUGGCGUGAUGGUGUGACUGGUGCCAGUUCCGUAUAUUAUAUGCUUCUCAGGGACCAAUUCCGGCUGUGUUGUUUCUUUGCUAAUAGUUAUAGCUUAUGCACUGUAGAAAGCAUUAUUCUACUAAAUUUUGCAUAAUUGCUAUCUUAAUGUGCUCUUAUGGUAUGUUGUUAUCUCCAUGUAUUAUGGUUGCUUCUUGGAUAUGAAUAUUCUGAUCGAAUGGACAAGGCUUUGUCUUCUCCAAAAAAAA